UUUUUUUUUGAAUACCAGGAGGUUCUGGGUCGAAGCCCGUAAUUCCUCAGACCCGAAACCACAUCAUGUAAUAUUAGUUUCGUUCCAAGCGUCACUCGAACCGACGAUCUCUAAGCUUCGCCUAGGGUCUUUACUAAUUGAGCUAACGACGCUUGAUAACCAGAAUUCUUUUGUUAAACUGUAUUUCUGGUAUACAUAGAUUUACAUUCGUUUCAUCAUGAAGAUUAAUUACAAACACUUAACGGUCAAAACACACAACAUUCUUU
Molecule: small RNA, 266 nt
Filed under: Arabidopsis thaliana (thale cress)
Lineage: Eukaryota; Viridiplantae; Streptophyta; Magnoliopsida; Brassicales; Brassicaceae
Description: ATSL240070
Source: RNAcentral